CCCUUAGAUGGUCUGGGCCGCACGCGCGCUACACUGACGAUGGCAACGAGUUUUUCCUUCGCCGAAAGGUGUGGGUAAUCUUUUGAAACAUCGUCGUGCUGGGGAUAGAUCAUUGCAAUUUUUGAUCUUGAACGAGGAAUUCCUAGUAAGCGCGAGUCAUCAGCUCGCGUUGAUUACGUCCCUGCCCUUUGUACACACCGCCCGUCGCUACUACCGAUUGAAUGGUUUAGUGAGGACUCCUGAUUGGCGCCGCCGCCCCGGCAACGGAGCAGCGGACUGCCGAAAAGUUGUUCAAACUUGAUCAUUUAGAGGAAGUAAAAGUCGUAACA
This 329-nucleotide ribosomal RNA is filed under the name uncultured eukaryote. RNAcentral describes it as "partial 18S ribosomal RNA". It matches the Rfam family "Eukaryotic small subunit ribosomal RNA", at positions 1470 to 1796 of the family's 1831-position model. The record is from RNAcentral.